GUUGCGCUAAUACCGCAUAUUCUGUGAGCAGGAAAGCAGGGGACCGCAAGGCCUUGCGCUCUUUUGAGCGGCCGAUGUCAGAUUAGCUAGUUGGUGAGGUAAACGGGCUUUACCAAGGCGACGAUCUGUAGCGGGUCUGAGAGGAUGAUCCGCCACACUGGAACUUGAGACACGGUCCAGACUCCUACGGGAGGCAGCAGUGGGAAUUUUGGACAAUGGGGCAACCCUGAUCCAGCCAUGCCGCGUGAGUGAAGAAGGCCUUCGGGUUGUAAAGCUCUUUCGGCCGGGAAGAAAUCGCAUGGGUUAAUACCCUGUGUGGAUGACGGUACCGGCAUAAGAAGCACCGGCUAACUACGUG
RNAcentral lists this ribosomal RNA (358 nucleotides) under uncultured bacterium. RNAcentral's name for it is "bacterial SSU rRNA". It matches the Rfam family "Bacterial small subunit ribosomal RNA", at positions 157 to 507 of the family's 1533-position model. The record is from RNAcentral.